This 580-nucleotide ribosomal RNA is filed under the name uncultured rumen bacterium. Its description in RNAcentral is "bacterial SSU rRNA". It matches the Rfam family "Bacterial small subunit ribosomal RNA", at positions 191 to 771 of the family's 1533-position model. The record is from RNAcentral.
GAACUCAGUUUAAAAGAUUCGUCGAAUACGGAUUGGCUCGCGUGGCAUUAGCUAGUCGGCGGGGUAACGGCCCACCGAGGCAACGAUGCCUAGGGGUUCUGAGAGGAAGACCCCCCACAUUGGGACUGAGACACGGCCCAAACUCCUACGGGAGGCAGCAGUGAGGAAUAUUGGUCAAUGGACGGAAGUCUGAACCAGCCAUGCCGCGUGAAGGAUGACGGCCCUAUGGGUUGUAAACUUCUUUUGUGACAGAGCAAUAAGGUGUACGUGUACACCGAUGAGAGUAUGCCACGAAUAAGCAUCGGCUAACUCCGUGCCAGCAGCCGCGGUAGUACGGAGGAUGCAAGCGUUAUCCGGAUUUAUUGGGUUUAAAGGGUGCGUAGGCUGUGUAUCAAGUCAGCGGUGAAAGACCGGGGCCCAACCUCGGAAGUGCCAUUGAUACUGAUAUGCUGGAGUACCCCUGCCGUGGGAGGAAUGAGUGGUGUAGCGGUGAAAUGCAUAGAUAUCACUCAGAACACCGAUUGCGAAGGCAUCUCACGAAAGGGCAACUGACGCUGAGGCACGAAAGCGUGGGGAUCAA